UCUGCCCGGCGGAGGCGCUGACGGGGUUUUAAUUGGUCUCGCUCGGCGUGUUUUAAUCGCCCCAACGCCACUCCAACGAUUUCACAACCGUAACCGUAACCUGUUUUAAUAUAAAUAAAUUGCGGUUUGUUGUGCAGCCGGAGCCUUCUGGUCCCAACGAGCAUCCGGUCUCGUCCCCCCUCACCUCUGGACUCUGGAGUGAAAACCAAAGACCCGCCUCCCACGACAGGAAGCCGUCGGGUAAAAAAUGUCCUGCUUAUUUACAACACGGAAGCUCGGUGACCACCAGGCAGAAACCGGGACACGUUUCUGUGAUCAAAUCUUCCCGGCGGGUGACAAUGAGUGGAAGCCCUCCAGCGAGCCGACCCGGCACGCUCGCCCCGUUUGCCAAAGAGCCAUUGUCUUAUUGUUGCUUUACACAAUGUGACUUGUUAAACCUGCAAAUGAACUCGCAUUGUAACAACGGCAUCUGGUCCCGGUUCACUUUCUUCGGGAUCGCCUCCGUAAUGGGGACGAAUGAGCCCGUCGCCGAGGAGCUUGAGGUGUGUCUGCAGAGGAGGUUCAAUCGGAUCUUUUUACAUUCCGGUUGUCGCGUCACACUUUGCAAUCGACGCGUCUCCCGUCACGUUUUGCACUGGGCAGAAAGCGCCGCUCGCAUCUGGAAAAGGACGGACGGACGGGAGGAUCAACCCGCCGCCGCCCAUUUGAGAAGAAGCGAGAUGAUCUCGGCUGCAGCGCAGUCGCCACGUCGGUGUUCACGCCACCUCUCCAGGUCAGACAGCGCAGAGCGGAUCCCGUCACGUCUCACGCAGCUGUCUGCGUAAACUCCGCCGCCGCCGAGCCCCUUCAGCGGACACAGAAGCAGAUGAGGACCGAAGUGGAGGACAGCCGGAGGACGGCCGGUCCUCCUUCCUGCGCCCAGAACCAUCGAGCGAGCUCCUCCGAGGUGUAGUUAGCUCAUCCAGCCGUGUGCAUGAUGGAUGAUCCCAGGGACGCGCCGGUUCUGACCCAGCUUGGAAUCAGCAGCAGUGUCUCCCCCGCGUUCAAAUCAGAUCUUUAAAUAAACCACAGCCACGUAAACGCAGCGAGCGUCAUUCACAUAAAAAAACAGUCGUCCUUUGCUAAAAAGACAAGCGGCUUCAGACCGUUUUCACUCCUUCUGAACACAGAGACGUUGGACAAUUCUUAUACUAAGACUACGACGAUAACGCCUCGAGGGAGGACGUCAGGUUGCGUGCUGUAAAGACAUUUGGGUCAAACAAGGACACGCGUGUUUGUGGCGUGUGGAAGCUUCAUCUCGCCACCUUGAAGGUGUUUGAUGCAGGAACCCUGGGGAGUUAGAAGGUACGAGCGCAGCACAGUGUUUGGUGAUGUCGUUGCGGCGCAUCCCGCAAAACCCGCGGCAUUGUUGUUGACAGUCGGCGACGAGGAAGUCCGGGGCACUGAGGCUCUGCUGCAGCUCCUCGCUCGCACUCGGUCCGUUGUUCUUCCUCUAAGUGAAUUAAAGCACGAUAUCCACCGCAUUCAGGGCGCCGCCGCUGCUGUUUCCAAGGUAACCACCAACUGGCAUCCCGGUGAACCUCAUCAUCACAAAGCAACAUAAACAUCCUUACAUGGUUUUUUUAUUUCCAAUUAAUGUUACCCGCCGCCGUUAAUCACACCGUUACCCCCCCCCCCGGGACCUCUGGGGGUCUGAGGAGUGGAUUCACCAUCACCAUUGCUUUAACGGGACACUUUUUAUAAUCAACUCCUGCAGCUCGCUAAUCAUUUUAAUGCUCUGUUUUGCUGCUUUAUUGUCUCGACAAUCAUUCCGAAGAUGCGUUCUUUUAUCUGUGGACCGAUCACGCGCCGGAGGAGCGUCCCUCCCCCCGAAGGCAGGAACACAAAGCGCACAAGAAUCUGAAGGUCUGAGCGCUGAGCUGCUACCCGACGCCACGUAGCGCUGCACAUCUCGCUCCUUCGCCCCUUCACUGUCUCACUCUUUACCCGGCGUCGCUCGGCGUGGCCGCGCUGACGCAGACGGAUUUGCGUGGCAGACAGUUGGAGGCCCGAGGACGGGAGGAGAUUGCUUCACGAGGCGUCCGGGCCGCGCUGGAUGUCUGGAGGGUGAUUUGCCAAAAAUCUGUCAAAGAAAAAGUUCUGCAGUGGUGAUUGAGCAAGUCUCGCCGUGAGCGUUGGCGUAAUUUACUGAGAAGACUAUUAUUUCAGUUCUAUGUACCUUUGCCUCAAAUAGCAAUGUUUUUUUCUGGAAAUGUCAUUCAGGAUUAAUUGGCGUUAAUGGAUUAAUAUUUGAUUUAAAAGUAGUAACCAUGCAAACAGUAUCGACAAAUAAGCUUCUUUCUGCAGCUUUAUUCCCUUUACACAGUAGCAGCUAAAACAUUUAUUCUGAACCUCAACUUAAAGAAAUCUUCUUUAAUCUAAACUACAUAACAUGUUUUAAUAUAAAACUAAAGCCAUUUGCAACUGCCAGAGGCUUAAUGUUGAAUCCGGUUUGUUAUAAAAAAACAAGUUGCAUCAUAACAGGCAGCUACCGUGUAGCAGCAAGUCCGCAUCUAUAAAUCAGUUCUUUUGUUUCCUGACAGAAGGAACACUUCUCAGCAUAAACGCUCCGCUCGGUAGCCGCGGUAUUUGUUCUAAAUGUUUGUUGGUGCAUUGAUGUUUUAUUGGUGUUUAUAAGAAGCGGUGCUCCGUAGUUAAACACCCGCUGUGUGCCAGGUACCACUGACUGUGUGCUAGUUAGCUUAGCAACAACUGCCAAGCCGUUUAUUGUCCGUUUGUCAUCAGACGUCGGGUAAUAAAGUGGCGCUGGCCUGGCGGCUAACUUAGGUGGCUCGUGAUUGGCCCGGGAGGGUGUGUGGGCGGGGCCUCGGUGCUGUGGCUCCCGGCGCACACGAUCACAAACUGUCAGACUCUCCACAUCUGCAGAAGUUCAGGAGGCUGCCAACGCAGUGACGUAAGCGUCACUUACCUUUUAUUUUAAUUAAUAUACUUAUUCUCCAUCAGAAACUCCCACGUUCCGUUAAAAAGAAGAUUGUCCAGGUAGACUCAUUGUUUACAUGUACGUGUGUGAGAUAAACUUCACUUCACAUCACCUCCCGCCACUGUACGUUUGAUUGACAUGUGAAUAGAGCUCAAAAACACCACGGAGAUUAUCUCCUAGCAACACGGAUGCAAACAAAACAAAACAGGAAUAACACUGUGUAGCUGUGGUGUCAUCAAUACGACUACAUGCGCGUGUAUUCGCACAUCACACAAUGCGCCAGGAGCCACGAUGAAAGCGCUUUAUUUUCGCUGGAAUUUGGAAACAUAUUAUUCAUUUUCACUGCAGCAUCUUUGGACGAAAAGCUUCAGACUGUUCUGAUCUCGGCUGGAAUCUCUAAAGUGAAACUGGUAGUCCGGUGCGGCACGCACUUUCCCACAAGUUCCCCAUAAAGUGGAGAAUGUGCCUAAUCCCGUGCAGAGUUAUGACAUAUGGUCGGUGGCUUAAGCGAUCUGGGGCCAUCUUAAGAUUGAGCUGGAAUGCUAUUCCCGAAGGGGAGAGCGAAGGUAAAUAAAGGAGACAGUGCUCGGCAGAUAUGGGAAAAUAUUGACACCACUGACCUCCGUGCUUAACUGAUUAAAGGCGGUAACAUCUCGCAGCUGUCUACUCAACAACUUUUAAAAAAGGGAAACCACAUAGGACCCCUAAAAGUGUGUUUCUUACGCCAAUGAUGCUCACAUGAUACACACACAACUGACAUCCUGUGUUUUGGUAGGAUGGACGGAAUAAAAGGGCAGAAGAGAGAAGAAGAAGGAUUUUAAAUGUAAAAACAAUAAAGCCGCUGUGAAG
Gasterosteus aculeatus aculeatus (three-spined stickleback) is the source of this 3829-nucleotide non-coding RNA. Lineage: Eukaryota; Metazoa; Chordata; Actinopteri; Perciformes; Gasterosteidae. The record is from RefSeq and is a predicted model, not a curated record.